GAUCUGAAACUCAAAGCCUCAUCUCUGCCUUAGGGGAUGGCAUUUGCUCAUCAGAGUGUGUUACCUUCUCUCCACCUCAGGUUUCAUCAUCUGAAAAUGAGAAGGCACAGCCCAGGCCCAGGAGGCAGGAGACCUGGGUCCUGCCCUGCCACCUGCCAUCACCUUCUCAGGAAACUUGCAGAGACGCAUCUAACUGCCCUGCACCUCAAUCUCUGGUACUGCAAAACUGGGACUCAUCGUUCAGAUGCGAGCUCCUACUAUCAAGAGGUGGAGUUUAUUUUCCCAUUGCUGAAUAUGGGUUGACCUUGUGAGGGGCGUUGACCAGAAGAAUGCAGUGAAGGUGACAUCAUGCAACUAGACCUUAAGAGACAGUGCAACUUUCACUGGGGCUGUCCUGAAGCACUGACCAGAAACCUCAGAUCAGGAAACUGGUCUAGCCUUCCAGAAGACGAGAGUCCCCAGGGAGGAGCAUCAGGGUUUCCAAUCAAGUGUCCCAGCACAGCUGCUAGACAUGCGCCUGAGGCCAUCUUGGGACCUUCCAGCUGAGACAAGCAGAAAAUCACACAGCCAACUUAACAAAAUUGU
Molecule: long non-coding RNA, 585 nt
Filed under: Pongo abelii (Sumatran orangutan)
Lineage: Eukaryota; Metazoa; Chordata; Mammalia; Primates; Hominidae
Description: lincRNA
Source: RNAcentral